GACGAACGCUGGCGGCGUGCCUAAUACAUGCAAGUAGAACGCUGAAGGAGGAGCUUGCUUCUCUGGAUGAGUUGCGAACGGGUGAGUAACGCGUAGGUAACCUGCCUGGUAGCGGGGGAUAACUAUUGGAAACGAUAGCUAAUACCGCAUAAGAGUAGAUGUUGCAUGAUAUUUGCUUAAAAGGUGCAAUUGCAUCACUACCAGAUGGACCUGCGUUGUAUUAGCUAGUUGGUGAGGUAACGGCUCACCAAGGCAACGAUACAUAGCCGACCUGAGAGGGGGAUCGGCCACACUGGGGAGAGGACACGCCCCGACCUCCGAGGGGAGGAGGAAGUGGGGAUUGUGGGGCAAUGGACGAAAGUCGGACGGAGCACGGCGGGGUGAGUGAAGAGGUUGUGGGGAUGUAAAAGCCUUGUUGAAAGAAAAGAAGGGGUGGGGGAGGGAAAAGUCCCCCCUGGGAGGGUUUCUAACAAGAAGGGGCCGCCAAAUUCCGGC
RNAcentral lists this ribosomal RNA (495 nucleotides) under uncultured bacterium. RNAcentral describes it as "partial 16S ribosomal RNA". It matches the Rfam family "Bacterial small subunit ribosomal RNA", at positions 28 to 508 of the family's 1533-position model. The record is from RNAcentral.